GAAACUCGAGCUAAUACCGCAUACGCCCUACGGGGGAAAGCAGGGGAUCUUCGGACCUUGCACUAUUGGAUGAGCCUAAGUCGGAUUAGCUUGUUGGUGAGGUAAAGGCUCACCAAGGCGACGAUCCGUAGCUGGUCUGCGAGGACGAUCAGCCACACUGGGACUGAGACACGGCCCAGACUCCUACGGGAGGCAGCAGUGGGGAAUAUUGGACAAUGGGGGCAACCCUGAUCCAGCAAUGCCGCGUGUGUGAAGAAGGCCUGCGGGUUGUAAAGCACUUUCAGUAGAGAAGAAAAGCCUAGGGUUAAUAACCCUGAGUCUUGACGUUACCUACAGAAGAAGCUCCGGCUAACUCCGUGCCAGCAGCCGCGGUAAUACGGAGGGAGCGAGCGUUAAUCGGAAUUACUGGGCGUAAAGCGCGCGUAGGCGGCUUUGUAAGUCGGAUGUGAAAGCCCUGGGCUCAACCUGGGAAUGGCAUUCGAUACUGCAAAGCUAGAGUAUGGUAGAGGGAAGUGGAAUUUCCGGUGUAGCGGUGAAAUGCGUA
Molecule: ribosomal RNA, 544 nt
Filed under: uncultured bacterium
Lineage: Bacteria
Description: bacterial SSU rRNA
Rfam family: Bacterial small subunit ribosomal RNA
Source: RNAcentral